Molecule: ribosomal RNA, 506 nt
Filed under: uncultured bacterium
Lineage: Bacteria
Description: partial 16S ribosomal RNA
Rfam family: Bacterial small subunit ribosomal RNA
Source: RNAcentral
AGUGAACGCUGGCGGUAGGCCUAACACAUGCAAGUCGAACGGCAGCACAGGAGAGCUUGCUCUCUGGGUGGCGAGUGGCGGACGGGUGAGGAAUACAUCGGAAUCUACUUUGUCGUGGGGGAUAACGUAGGGAAACUUACGCUAAUACCGCAUACGACCUACGGGUGAAAGCAGGGGACCUUCGGGCCUUGCGCGAUUGAAUGAGCCGAUGUCGGAUUAGCUAGUUGGCGGGGUAAAGGCCCACCAAGGCGACGAUCCGUAGCUGGUCUGAGAGGAUGAUCAGCCACACUGGAACUGAGGAACGGUCCAGACUCCUACGGGAGGCAGCAGUGGGGAAUAUCGGACAAUGGGCGCAAGCCUGAUCCAGCCAUACCGCGUGGGUGAAGAAGGCCUUCGGGUUGUAAAGCCCUUUUGUUGGGAAAGAAAUCCAGCUGGCUAAUACCCGGUUGGGAUGACGGUACCCAAAGAAUAAGCACCGGCUAACUUCGUGCCAGCCGCCGCCGUAA